Molecule: long non-coding RNA, 3020 nt
Organism: Branchiostoma belcheri (Belcher's lancelet)
Lineage: Eukaryota; Metazoa; Chordata; Leptocardii; Amphioxiformes; Branchiostomatidae
Exons: 3
Source: RefSeq, a predicted model, not a curated record
AGGGCAUCACCACACCGACAAGAAUUUACCUGAAUUUCGGCGGGCUCAAACAUAACGUUAUAUUCCGGCGAGGAGACCCGCAAUGUAAAGGGAAUGGAGGUGCUAAACCUCCACAGCCCAGGGCAACACUUCGAGGACUGAGGACUCAAACCUAACGUUGAUUUUACGACGAGGAGAUCCGCAGUAUAAAGGAUGCAAGAAGCAGGGACGGAGACAUCUCUCAGCAUCUUCCAGGACCUUAUUGUUGCCUUCAACUACACCUCUCAUGGGAAAAGGCUGUAAGGGAUGAAAAAAAGGUUUAGUGAUUUGUGAUGUGCAUUAAGUAGCUUUUGGCACCAAACUUAGAAUUCCCUCUGUGUAUCUGAGACAUUUUCGACAGUGAUAAUCAAGUUUCUUGGUUGUUGGCAAGGUGCUUGAGUUUGCUUUGGUGACAUCCUGAGUGACUUUGUUGGUUGGGGUUGCGGCAUUUUGAGGGUUUUGGCUCCUUUUGCUCGCAUGGCUUUAGUCUGUUUCUGUGGGAUACAGGUCCGAUGUAUGGUUGAUUUGGUUUCUGUGACCAUGUCGGUGGCUGGGAUCGUGUUUGGAGUUGCUGCUAAGUUCAGUCCUCUAGAAAAUGGAGACUUCCCUAAGUUCUGUCAGCCCAUGAUUAUUUAGGUAUCUUGUACUGCCUGACUUUCUUUCUGCAUUAUGUGAUUGUCAGCGGGUCGGGAACCCUGACCAUUACAUGAGCUGCCUUGUGAAUGAAAUAAUGGGGUGGGGGUGAGGGGUGGAUCAUCUGGUUCUGGGGUAUCUGUUAGUCUUGAGAUCCCGAACAAAGACUACGGCACAGGGCCAGAAGGGAGGACAGGUAGAUGAAGUGCGUAAGUGAUCAUGAGCUAACAGAACUGGGGAAGUCACUGUUUUCUGGAGGACUAAACUUUGUAGUUACGUCUGAGCGCAAUUCCGGUCGUCAGCGUGGGUACAGAAGCUGAUCAGGCCAAGCAUUGGACCUGGUUGCCACAGGAACGGGUUGAAGCACUGUGUGCAGAAGUAACCAUUGCUCUCAAAGUGUCCUAAUCCCUUGCCAGUUCCAUCACAAGGGCUGUUGCCAACAUUCUCGAUGCCUUGCUGACAACCAAUUGAUUGUGAUUCUACCUGCUGGUGAUGCCUCGGGUAGACAGAGGGGAUUGUUACCUAAGCUUGGACUGAAGCUGCAUCACAGAUCAGUAACGUCCUGCCAUCGCCCCGCCAGCAGCAUUUCUCUGGAUGAAAAAAAGGUCAAGUCUGUAAAUGAAGUUCUUUUUCAAAGAAUGCAAUGUAUCAUUUUACCAUCAUUAUGUAUGAUAGACAAGUGUUGCUCAGGUUGUAUGUUCAUGCUAUAUGUUCAUGUUGCUCAGGUUGUAUGUUCAUUUUAUAUGUUCAUGUUAUUAAGUCUAUGCCAUCUUCCUGGGUGAAGCUAAAUUUGUCAUGGUGCUAGGGCCAUGUAGUUUUAUAGAAAUAUUAUAGUCGCCUGCUAUUUAGCUGCAUUCCUCGUACUUACCAGCUGUGAGAUGUCAAAGGCAUGUUUUUUUUCUAAUUCUUGCAUAAUGCAUUCACAAAUUGAAAUGUCCCUUGAAUACUAGUAGCCAAGAUUUCUUAACUUGUAAAUGUUUUUUUUAGGAUUUCCUAAUUUUUAGGAUUUCAUAACUUGUAAAUGUUCUUUUUUAGGAUUAUGUUGUAGUUGUCUUGUUUUAAGAUAAGCUAUUAAGAUAAGUGCAUUUUAUGCCAAAAAAGUUACUCAAGCAACUGGAUAUGAUUUUGGAAACAUGAUUUUGGAAACAGUCAGAUGUUUCAGGUAGCAUCCACUUACACUACUUUCGUCAAUGACACUAAAGACAGACUGUAAGAGAAAGACAGAUUUAUCAUAUCCAGUUGCUUGUGUAUAAACUGUUUUUUGGCAUAUCUUAUUACCCGAAUGUCUAACCUUCAUCAACGUAAGCGCAGUUUAGGUUAAGAAUAGUUGUAGUCUAGUUGUAGCCUAGUGUUAAGGUUAGUUGUAGCCUAGUGUUAAGGUUAGUUGUAGCCUAGUGUUAAGGUUAGUUGUAGCCUAGUGUUAAGGUCAGUUGUAGUUUAGUGUUAAGGUCAGUUGUAGUCUAAAGUGAAAGUCUUUUGUUCCCUCCCACUCGAGCCUUUAUUUUCAGUGUAUUUUGCCUCUAUUCUAGUACAAGUAGUGGCCACCUUGUCUUAGAAUGGAUCCAAAAUAUAUGAAUACAUGGGCUUUGAGAGCAAAGAUCUUUACAUAAAGUAGGCUGUAGGGUAGUUAUAAUCAGGUUAGGUUUGAUUAUAAUAAUAAGGUCUAGGGCAUUGUAGUGAGUUUUUGAAACUUAGCUUUCAAAAUGUCAGACUCAACCUGAGCAACACACUGUAUGCUUAAUAAACAGUCAUGUGGUUUUUGUUUGAGUUUUUGUUUUUGUUUCAGAAGGAUAAGCUUCAAUAACACUUCUAUUUUAUUUUAAAUCCCAUCCUUGGUCCCAUAUAGUGCUCACCAACACCCACCCCCAUACAUUUAUUUGUCAGUAUUAAGUGCUCUCCUCAUAAACCCUGUGUAGGUCUUUUCUGUCACUGGACCUCAUUAAAGCGCUACCUAAUGAAGAGUGAAGGAACUUCAACCAAGUAGGCAAAGAAAUUAUGUCUGUGCUUUGUAAUGUAAUAGUGGGGCGGUGAGUAGGCAAAAUGUAUUUAAAAGGACACGGCAUUGAAUUUUAGAUGUUGUCCCUCCCCCGCACAUGAAAUGGUACAGUCCUUCCGUGGUGACCACUUGUGGUGACCGACGCCUCUACUCGCGUCAUCCCCUACUCGUGGGGCAAGGGCUGUUCUUUACCGGACUAUAACGUUACCAAGGAAGUAAAUUAACCUGCCUGGCCUAACUUUGUCCUUGGGUCUUUGCACACAGUCCGUCAUGUUUGACGGACAAAAAUCGGCGUUUAAAGAUAUGGAAAUUGUUCUUUAAUCAUGCUGUUGCCAUACAUUGCCCUGUACGAUUGUCGAGCAAUCAUCAUGUG